RNAcentral lists this ribosomal RNA (253 nucleotides) under uncultured bacterium. Its description in RNAcentral is "partial 16S ribosomal RNA". It matches the Rfam family "Bacterial small subunit ribosomal RNA", at positions 524 to 776 of the family's 1533-position model. The record is from RNAcentral.
UACGAAGGGUGCAAACGUUGCUCGGAAUCAUUGGGCGUAAAGCGCGCGUAGGCGGCUCGGAAAGUCGGUCGUGAAAUGCCGGGGCUCAACCCCGGGACUGCGUCCGAUACUCCCGAGCUGGAGGCAGGUAGGGGAGAUCGGAAUUCCUGGUGUAGCGGUGAAAUGCGCAGAUAUCAGGAGGAACACCGGUGGCGAAGGCGGAUCUCUGGGCCUUGCCUGACGCUGAGGCGCGAAAGCUGGGGGAGCGAACAGG